UGAAUACGAGACGCUACGGCGUCGAAGCAGUCUAUGUCAUACUUCCAAGAAAAGCUCGCAAUGUCAUAAACAAAUAAUGCCUGUACCAUAACCGACACAGGUGGGUAGGUAGAGUAUACUAAGGGGCGCGAGAUAACUCUCUCUAAGGAACUCGGCAAAAUGACUCCGUAACUUCGGGAGAAGGAGUGCCUUAUUUAUAAGGUUGCAAUAACAAGAUCCAAGCAACUGUUUAUCAAAAACACAGGUCUCCGCUAAGUCGUAAGACGAUGUAUGGGGGCUGACGCCUGCCCAGUGCCAGAAGGUUAAAGAAGUUGGUUAGCAUUCGCGAAGCUGAUAACUGAAGCCCUGGUGAACGGCGGCCGUAACAAUAACGGUCCUAAGGUAGCGAAAUUCCUUGUCGGGUAAGUUCCGACCCGCACGAAAGGCGUAAUGAUUUGGAUACUGUCUCGGAGAGGGGCUCGGCGAAAUAGACUUGUCUGUGAAGAUGCGGACUACCUGCACCUGGACAGAAAGACCCUAUGAAGCUUUACUGUAACUUGAAAUUGAAAUUGGACUUUAUUUGCGCAGCAUAGGUGGGAGGCGUUGAGAGUAUUCUUGCGGGAAUAUUGGAGCCAUCAGUGAGAUACCACUCUUGUAAUGUUAGAUUUCUAACUUUGGAUCAUUAUCUGGUCAAAGAACAGUUUCAGGCGGGCAGUUUGACUGGGGCGGUCGCCUCCCAAAUGGUAACGGAGGCGUACAAAGGUUUCCUCUGAACGGGUAGAAAUCGUAUCUAGAGUGUAAAGGCAUAAGGAAGCUUGACUGUGAGACCUACAAGUCGAGCAGGGACGAAAGUCGGUCUUAGUGAUCUGACGGUGCUGAGUGGAAAGGCCGUCACUCAACGGAUAAAAGUUACUCUAAGGAUAACAGGCUGAUCUCCCCCAAGAGUUCACAUCGACGGGGAGGUUUGGCACCUCGAUGUCGGCUCAUCGCAUCCUGGGGCGGUAGUACGUCCCAAGGGUUGGGCUGUUCGCCCAUGAAAGCGGUACGCGAGCUGGGUUCAGAACGUCGUGAGACAGUUCGGUCCAUAUCCGGUGUAGGCGUUAGAAUAUUGAGAGGAGCCUUCUUUAGUACGAGAGGACCGAGAAGGACAUACCUCUGGUGUACCAGUUAUCGUGCCAACGGUAAACGCUGGGUAGCUAUGUAUGGAGAGGAUAACCGCUGAGAGCAUCUAAGUGGGAAGCCCACCUCAAGAUAAGUAUUCUC
RNAcentral lists this ribosomal RNA (1242 nucleotides) under metagenome. Its description in RNAcentral is "bacterial LSU rRNA". It matches the Rfam family "Bacterial large subunit ribosomal RNA", at positions 1564 to 2815 of the family's 2925-position model. The record is from RNAcentral.